AUUCCAGGUCAAAGCUGAGACCUUUACACAUACUAUAAACACUUAAAAGCAUACAUCUUUAUUAUGAGGAAUCCUUAAUACAUUUUAUGUACCAAGAAUUAAUUAUUUUGUUCCUCCUUGAUUCUUUUUCCACUUAAAAAUACUAGUCACAAAUGUCCUUUACUGUUUUAUAGAACAAAAUAAGGGAUAUAUAGCACUAAAUGACAAAUGCAGUCCUGGUUUCACUGGUGGACUCUGAUGGCAGAAGGGGAGAGGGUCUGAUGCUGUUUAACUGCUAAGGUCACAAAGCAUUGGGCAGUGCUAGUUGUGGACAGGAGGCAGCAGCCCCUCAGACCUCCAGAAAAUCUGUUCCAGGAACUCAUAAAAUACUUUAACGCUACAGAUUAGAGAUCAUCCACCACAGAAAUUCUCGCUUGUAAAACAAAAUCACAUUUUUCUUAAUUCUGUCAAGCUUGUGUAAUUGUGUGUUUGUGGAUGAGAAUGCUGUGAGGGAGAGAGGGGGAGAAUGGAAGUUUUCAGACAAUUAAUUUUAUUAUUUUUACUUAAGUUAAUUCGGACUACCCUUUAGUUAGCUCUGAAUCUUUCACACCCAGCAUCACAUACAUCUUCCUUGUAAACAGAAGGACUAAGAGUUAUGAUUUUUUUCAAAAAAAUAAGAAAGCAGUAAAUAAGUAAAUAAAAAAAAAAAAAUCCCAAUCUGGGUUAACAGCACAAGUAUAAACAAAAAAUAAUAUUUCUUUUCAGGUUCUAAGAAAGUCUUAAAUGCACUAAAUAUACACGUGUGGAUUUUUCAAUCAGAGUACCAAAAGCUGAUCUUAGCUAUGUGCUGCGUGGCUUGUAGAAUUAAAUCACUGCUCCACAGGUGUGCAUCAGUGGAGUUAGUUCUGCAAUAUUUUGGGAGACUUUUUUGGUGAGGUCUAAAGUCAGCAUAAAGUAUUGAUUUAACAUUUAACAACCUGCCAAAUUAGAAAAUGUAAUGAGGAAAACCACCACAUCCAUAGCAGUGGUAUAUUACUUAUUCAAUAAAGACGGUACACUGUGUUAGGCUAUGGCAUAUACCAGUGAGAUGUUGGUUAGCAUUUCAUAUAGAACUAUUUCUAAACUAAUACGCUUUUGCAGUAACAUUGUUUGAUCAAAUUUCAAAGAAUUAUACCAGUUUGUUAAAAGAAAACUGGCAACUCCAUUAUGUUAAGAAAGAUACUGGAGUAUAGAUCUGUUGGUAAUCCCCUUGUUCUCAGGAGCUGCACCGUCUCAAAUCAGCACAGUCCUGAAAUAAGAGCUAGCGUUUUGACCUCCGUUGCCAGGACACUUGUUUGAAUCUGGCCAACAUUAAUUGUGUGUAGUCAAUAGCAUUUAUAAAUCAGUCGGAGGCUGUGUGUUCAUUUCAGUUUGUGUUUCCUGGGGCAAACCAUCAGACCUCAAAUACAACCAGUGUAUUUUUUUCUGACCUGGAUAUUAUUCACUGACUAUUAGGAGAGAAACUGGUGGUCAAAUGAAUAGAAAUACUGUCAUUGUUACCGAUGAUGAUAACAGGAUGUAAGACUGUCAUGUUAGCCCUAUUUUUCCUAAGUUAAUAUAUAUUUUGUCCAAGAUUUGCUUAAAUAUUCUUAAUUUAAGCAAAACCUGACCAAAUUAUGCAAUAGACACUUAGAAUGAAAGCACCUGUUGUCGUCUGAAUUUCUUUUGAUAGCUGUCCCAUCUUUCUUUCCCUCUUUUCUCAGUCAGUGAGGUUCCUAUCCCUCAUCCGAUCUUUCUUUGCUGAAUUAAAAUACUUGUGCCUUGGAACUAAUUUAUAUCAGCACAAAGUGUUACAAAAUCAGAUCAAUAGGAUUUUAUACCUCCUUCAGUGUGAUGAAUGACAUAUAAGUGACAUAUAAGAAGGCAAACCUUUUGGGCUGGUGGGUGGAACGUGUCCAUUCGCAUCUACUGCUAGCAGAUGGAAUGUGUUCAUUUACAUCUACUGCUACUAGUUCUAUAUAACACUACUCAACAGAUCAUUAAGGUUUGUGGUCAGUUUUUGGGUUCAGUUCUUGGGGACUUUUUUCUCAACUAGCAGCCUAAUUUUCAUUCUUUGGGAAUCUGUUAUUCUUUGAUGGGUAAUGAGUGAUUCAGUAGAAGGAAGCAGGAAUAGUUCAAUUUCACAAGCCUUUUUAAUUCAGGGUUAGAGGAUGAAAGAGAAGAACCUACAGAACCUGAGAGCUAGGGCCCUUAGGAUUUAGCUAAGGCCAGCUUUCUCAUCUGUGGAGUUGUUUUUUUUCAUUAUAUCUGACAUUUUUUGAGGGUGAGUUUUGUUACAGUCUAUUAGCCUAUGGCACUGGGCUGGGAAGAUGAGACUUCACUGAGAUACAGAACACAUGAAAAAAAAAAAAAAAAGAGUGAACAAUUGAAAUUACAGGGUUAUUGGUAUCUUGUUGUCAAGGUAGCUUGAGGUUGGUUUUGUACAGAGAGGAAUUCAGCUUGCUUUUGUGUGUGAUACUGUGAAAUGAAUUCAGUGCCCAGUGUGCUCCAAUACUAAUUAUGAAACUUUCUAAAAACAAAGAACAAAACCAAACCAAUUCUUCCUAGCUUACUUUCACUGUUUAACUCUUGUCAUGCCUUUUUGGGACCACUGUAUUUGAUAAGAGUGAAGGUUUUAAAUAUGAUCAAUUACAGUAUGUAUCUUUCUGUCCUGGGUUACACAUAUUCAUGGAUGGCACAGGAGGGAGAGUUUUGUAUGAGAUCAUUACUCGAGGAUCUAACUUAGGACAUUCAAGAGUCAAGUUCCUGAUUUCACUGCCAUUUACUUUGAGAGGAGUGAGCAUGUGUCAGCAAGGAGCUAAUAACUGCCUGAGUAGCUGCUAGGCAGAUUAUCAAGUAAAACAGUAAUACCACAGCCAUCAAACAAUUUGUUAAAUAAAGGGGGAUCCAAGAAACGAUACUUCUAGGUCAAAUUUAGAGAACCUUUGAGCAAUUUCAAAAUAUCUUUAUUCAGCCUCCGUGAAUACAUGCAAGAGAUGAAGCCAGUGAGUAGAUGGCUGCUGUCUACAGAAGGUCUAUAUUCAAUAAGCACAGGAAAGAUUUCAAAACUGUCUUGGUGAAUACUGUCUGGAAAAAAAAAUAGAUAUUGGUCCAACAUGUUUAUAUUCAAGGUAGUAUAUUUAGGCAAGAUUACAAAAUGGGAACAAAUGGCUUGGUAGCAGUUUGUAUCAAGGACUGUAAAUUUAGUGUGAGAUAUCAAAAGUAUUGCUGUGAGUACAGCAGGUGUCCUAUGAAAUGUAUCAAUAGAUGUAUAACCAGGACUUGGAAAACAACUUUUCUAUUGUGCUGCUUACCUUCAGUACUACGACUAGUUUUAGUUCCUGAGUGUUAGGUAAAAAAGUCGGGGUCACUAGAAGAUUUUUUACAUACUUAAAGACUUCUCUCAAACCUCUUUCGUGUUCUCCCAUUGAUGUUGAAUGGGUCAGUUCUUUCAGCACAUGCUCUUUGUUGCAUUUUCUGGAUCUCUGGUAUGUUUUUCUCCUCUGAAAUAAGUCUUUAAAUAUGUUUAAAUAUGCUAUAAGAGGAAGGAAAUAAUCUAUUCUCUAUAUCAAUGGUAAUUGAACAGGCACUAUUGGAUUUAUAUUGCAGCAAGAAAAUUCAGAUUAGUUACUAGAAAAACCUUUUAAAGAUAAUAAUGAGUUAUUGGAACAGAUAGCCUGAGGAAGUUUUACAAUCCCAGUAGUUGGAAGUUUUUAAAAGACAGUCUAGACAAAUAUCUGUCAAGACUGAUACGUUUGAUCUUGCUGUGGGACAGAGGAUGGAUGAAAUGACCUCUUGAGGUCCCUUCCAGCCUUGCUAGGAAUCCAUAAAAUCAUCUUUAAGCUCCCAGGGGAGAAAAGAAAUAUCCAAGCACAGAGAAUCUGCUACAAAUGACCUUUGAUAAUUUCAUUGACAAAAAUUUGGAAGUGGUCUCAGAGUACAGCUAGUAAUGAUGAGAUAAAAUUCUCCAAGCUAAUACUAAUCAGUAGUUUCUUCAAUCAUAAUUCUUAUAAACACAUUUCUAGGUUAACUCUGUGCACUGUGACUUACGUUAAGGCUUCUUGCUGAACAUAAGAUUAAGAUUCUAUGAUUGCAGAAGAGUAUUAGUUUGAAAAGAAAAAAACAA
This is a long non-coding RNA of Oxyura jamaicensis (ruddy duck), 4123 nucleotides long. RefSeq lists it as uncharacterized. The record is from RefSeq and is a predicted model, not a curated record. Lineage: Eukaryota; Metazoa; Chordata; Aves; Anseriformes; Anatidae. The transcript is spliced from 2 exons.